CGCAGGGCUGACCUUGAUCGCCCACCUGUGCCCCAGCCGCCGCCCGGGCUGCGCUGCAGGGACCGCCCGGGAUUGAGCGGGGGACGGGCCUCCCGGUCGGUCCUGCGCUAGCGGAGGAGGAUGCUGCCCUGGUCGCCAGCUUCACGUGGCUUCUGCUUGUCAUUGCGUGGCCACAGACCGCCUGCAGCCCCAGUCGGCUCCUAUCAGACAUCACCGUCCGGAGAGGCCACAGCUACCAGCCAUGACAGAGUCCUGCCAGUCUGUCUCUCGGGCGCCCCUUUGGUCUGUCCUCACCUGCCCUCUUGCCGUGCUCCUGGCCGAUCGUUGUAGGCGCUGCACCAACGUCCUCAGGUUUGCACCCUCCCUCCCCAGGCCAGUCCAGAUACUUGUGACGUUCUUUUGCAUCCUGGGACCCGCGCAGGACCACGUAGGGGGUAAGGAGCCGGGCCUCACCCCAGCAGCACCUCCUAGGACUGCCGGUCACAUCACGCGAUAGGGUGCUCUUUGCCCUGCGCUCGCCACACUUUUCACCUGGCGCUGGUCCAGCUCAGCUCUGGCGUGAACUUGUCCUGAGCUUUUUCCUCCUCAAAACCUCCCAUCUUUUGCUGCACAUCAGGGUGGCUUCCCACCCCCUUGUCCCUGUACCCAGGAGGGGGCUGCACACGAUCUGAGCUUCUGUUUACUUCGUGGAAGCAGCGGACCAGACCCCAUGGUUAUCGAGCCCUGGUCUGGGUAGACAGCACAGCCAUUCUCACCAUCGUUCUCUGGACACACUCACCAGUGCUGGUUACACAAGCUACCCAUGCCUGCGGGUGAUGCAGGUAUCGAUGAAAUCCAGAGUCUUCGCGAAGGAAAAGUAGCCAAAGUCAUGUGAAUAAUGCAGAGUUGAAGAAUCAGCCGUUAAUUAACCUGAGUUUCAUCAGCCAUUCAAAAAUCUCAGAUGAGUGC
Molecule: long non-coding RNA, 948 nt
Organism: Leopardus geoffroyi (Geoffroy's cat)
Lineage: Eukaryota; Metazoa; Chordata; Mammalia; Carnivora; Felidae
Exons: 3
Source: RefSeq, a predicted model, not a curated record